ACCUGGCUAGCUCAGUCAGUAGAGCACGUGACUCUCGAUCUUGGGGUUGUGAGUUCGAGCCCUACAUUGGGUG
This 73-nucleotide transfer RNA is filed under the name Felis catus (domestic cat). It matches the Rfam family "tRNA". Rfam says of the family: Transfer RNA (tRNA) molecules are approximately 80 nucleotides in length. Their secondary structure includes four short double-helical elements and three loops (D, anti-codon, and T loops). The record is from Rfam by way of RNAcentral. Lineage: Eukaryota; Metazoa; Chordata; Mammalia; Carnivora; Felidae.